AAUGACAUUUAACUUUCCUUCAGAGCGUGGAAGUUGUAAAGGGUGUUGAGAGAAAGCUGGAGGGCAGUCAGGUACAGCUUGCAAGUGGAGUUAGUGACCUCAAGCAGCAGAUACAGAAGGUGGAUCAAAAAGUGAACAAUCUGUUAGAACAGUCCAGCACUCCUGCUCCACAGGCAAACAACGAAACACAUUCUCGUAAGCAGAGAUUAACACAAGCAGAUUCAGGAACUUUAAGAGAUAAAAGAGGACCUUGAUAUGUGAAGGAGGAGUCUGCAGCAUUGCUACGAACAUUAUGUGCCAAUAAUGCUCUGUUUGCAUCCAAAGAAGUUUAACAUCACAAGACAUUAGCAGUUUGAAGCUUUGUAUUCCAUCCUGCUGUAGUAAGCUAGCUAGUGCAGAUUGUAGGGUCUUCUCAUAGAGUCACUUCUUUCCAAACUUUGUAAUAUGUUUGUGAAAAAGCCAGUACGUUUUAAUUUUUUAUGAAUUUGAAUUUAAAAGUUCAAGUUAUGUUUUUGCUUUUAUCACUAGAAUGUUUUAUGAUUAUAAGGAUUCCAUUGGUAGACACAUUAGCAUUAAGUAGCCUCACACAAUUAAUGACAGCUGAUAAUUUUAUUGCAUGACAAUGUAUUAAUUAGCUUUCUUUUUAGCCAGGAAAUAGAAAUACUCCCAGUACUAUAUGUGUAAAUAUUGCAUCAACCAUGACCAUCCAACUUCAUUGUAAACAUUUUUUUAUGAAACAAUAUAAAUUUUUGAUACAGUACAUACAAAAAAUAUCUUGUUACAGACCUUUUUUUCCAUGGGAUAUUUCAGCAAUUUACUACAUAUUCAUAUUUCUAUGGUGAUGGGAGGUUUUCUGCAGUUUUGGCGGUGGAGCUAAAGAGAAAUUGCCAGAGUUGGUAGUAGAGAACAACUUUCUCAAGUAGAUUAUUCUGUCAAGCAUAAUCUAGAAACGCAACCAUUGGUGAGCACAGUAUCUUGGCUCAGUCAGACCACUUUGUAAUAAGGAAGGAUAUCUUAUUUGCAUAAUUUUUGUAGCCAUGUGUUGCGUUUGAGAGAUGUCUAGUGCUGAAAUCUCGUGUAGAGACCAGUGUGUAGGACUUUUUAUUAUGGCUGAUAUUUUCUACAUGGUUGUGUAAUGUUAUUCAGAUUGUGAUGCUCUAUACUCUUGCUAGUUUAAAGCAAAAAGACAUUCAUGUAUAUGUUAUACGGUUCUUUCAAAUGCUUCAGAAAUUAUUGUGAAGUGUGAACCACAUUUUUGCUCAUGCCAGUUAUAUGGACACAAAAAAGUCCCGUAGUAUUUAUUUAGAUAUAAAAGAGGGACCUUGUGGAAUUAGGUUAUAGUUCUUCCUGCUGCUUUUUUUCAUCUUGACAAUGUAUCAUCAAGUUAAUUUGGAAAGAUGAUGUUAAUACGAGUGUUGAUAUUUUAUUUGUAUAAUAUCUAAUAUGUUUAGAGCAACAAAGCCUAAACCACUGUAUUGUAAAGAUAUAACACAGCAUUCCUAAAUUAUUAGUGACUGCACUUUGUUAUAUUAUGAUGGUCUGGAAGUGCUACAGUCCAUUUGUUGCAGAUGAUAAAGACCCCUGAAGUGAUGCCCAGUGCAAAUAAUGAAAUAAGAAGUACCAGUAUAAACCCUCAACAAAACCUCUUAUUUCACUUUUUCUUAGUGACAACUAAAAAGAUGAACAGCACACCAAAUCUUUGUGGUUUCUUGCUUUAUUGCCCUAAGGUCCCUGUUGUAAAAAGGAAAUAAUAAUAAUAAUUAUAAUGAAUACAUAAAGAAAUACAUAACUAAAUAAAGAUUAUUAGGGGCCAGGUAUUUGUAACUGAGGCUCAAGCCACUUUUUAGUAAAUCAUAGAAGCCCCUGCAGAUGAUUCCUCCUUCAGUAGCCUCUUGAUUCUAGGUGAUCCCAUAUCUCAUCCAGACAAGCCAUCCAACUUGUGCUUAGCAGAUAUUAUCAUGUUAAAUGUUACCUAUUUUAGAGUUGUAGAUAUAAGUGUUGCAAAAACUAUCUAGCAAAAAUACUUUACUAUUGUCAUUUCAUGGCAUCUAGAUUUAUACCUUAGGUAUGCUUUUUCAAUGUUUUCAGUGUUUCACAUUUCAUAGCAGUAGCCAAGCUUCAAAGAAAAAAUAUAUAAUGAAGCUACAAUAAGCUUAGCUUAUGGCACAUGGAUGUGGAUUUUCCUCAAUUAUAUGAAGAGAGUAAUUGUUAGAAAUGUUUGAACAGUUAUUGAUAAUAGCCCAGGUCUGCUACUCUGGCAUCAUUAAUUUCUGAACCAAAUUGCAUAAAUGAGGUAUGCUUUAUAUAGCUUUUUAUCUGUUACCCAUGUGCUGCUAUCUGUUAUUAGAAUUUAUUUUUGAAGUCUAGUCUCUGGCACUAAUGUAUGGUUGGUAGUCUUAAGGAGAACAAGUAGUUUCUUGUAGAAUCUUUAUGAAAAUUAUUUGCUUUGUCUAUUUUUCUUUUUGUACUGUUGAAUUAUAUGCAUUUCUUUGUAUUUGUUUGUGUGGUAAGUUGAAGAACAAGGCAUUACAAGUCAUUUGUGGUGUUUUGCUGUUACAUGAAAUGCAUGUCUCACAGCCUUUCAUAUCACAAAUAAUGUAUUCUUUAUAUGAAGAAACAAACCACAUAUUCAGACUUUCUGGAGAUUAGUUUUCUAUACAAGCUGCUAUAUCUUUACCUGUGAUAGCUAAAGAAAAAAAGUUGAGAUACAAUUUUGUUUCUUAUAGUGAUUUACAAGGUGAAUUGUGAGUUAAAAGAUAGUGUGACAGAUCAAGUACCAAGAUUUCCUCACUCUUGUGGGGUUAUAGAUGCAAUAUUGGUUUCUGCUAAAGUUUGGAGUAACUUCAGUACACAAGAAAAUAGAUGUGGUGAAUUGAUCUUUUGUUGGUUUCAAACUUUUCUUUGCUUAAUUUUAUAUUUUAGAAUCAGAGGACUGCAUUAGUAAAUGGUUAUGAAAAAAUCAAGGCUUCUUCAAUUAUCAUAGCAACAACAACCAUAAGCAGUGCAAAGGUAAUCAAAGGAAAUUAAACAAGAGGUCACAUUACACAUAAGUAUGGAUGUUACAUAACCAUUUGAGGCAUUGCAGUGUAAGUUUUAUCAGUGUUAAGGGGUUAUUUAGGGGAGGUAAAUAUUUGAUAAAGUUUAUACCAGAAAUGUACAUAUUUUAUGUUUAUUAAUAUCACAAUUUCGAAUUUCAUUGAAUAAGAUUUUUUGUUAUAUAUCAGACCACCAACAUUCAUCACAACAGUAGCAGUCAUGGCUUAGGAAUGAAUGCAGUAAAAAAAGAUUGAGUGUGUUUCAGGAGUUUGAAGAAAUUGUAUAGCAGAUUUUCAAAUGCAUUAUGAUAAAAAACUUCUCUUUUUCACCCAGUGAUAUAGAAAAAUGAUUUUAAAUAGAUGUGGUAUAUUGAAAAAAUUCUGAUGUUUUUAUCUCAGUAUUCCUCUGAAAGGGGAAUUAUCUUUUCUCUUUUUUCAGAAUUUAGCUUCACUUGUUCUUCAGUGUUGAUAAUCUAAUUUCAGCAGAUUAGUUUAAUGAGUCUUUACCAUUUUUUCUACCUUAAGGGUCAGUAGUAACCAAUAAAUAUUCACCAACUUAUUACUCUGAAAAUAUGGGAAGCCUGAACAUAUUUUGUACAUUCCAGAAAUGAAAGAACUACAUGAAAGUGAAUCAGUAAGCAUGUUUAUUUUUUUGUAAAUCAUUUAAUUUAAACACAACCAUGAAACAUCAUCAAGAGUUCCUGUGUAAUGGUUUAAAUUUUGUAAUUUACAGAAUAUAAUUUUUUUUAAGACUAGAUGUGUUUUUUCUUUUUUUCUUUCUUUUCUUCAUAUUUGUUUUGAUUAUUGCUCUUAUGCAUAUGCUUUUAUACUUAUAUAUUGGGCUUAAGCUACUGUUAUCUCCUGCUGAGUAAUGGUGAACUUAUUUCAAAGAAUUUCUUUCCUCAUGUAUUACUGGAUUUUGUAUUCUCUGAUGAGAUGUCAGGUCUUAAGAAAUAGCUUUAAUAAUUGUAAUUUCAGUUGCAGUGAUAAUAUAAACACCAUGCUCAUUGCCCUCACCUCAUAGGUGAAUAUAACAUGUUUUUUUUCCAUGUCUGUAAGUUAACAUAUAGUUCAUUUUUUAUGCAUGUAUUGAAUAAUUUAGCCAGAACAAUAUUAUUUUAUUAGUGAACUGUUAAAGGUUAAUAGUAAGUACUUUGUUAUAACACAAUAACACAAUAUAUAAACUAAGUGAUAACAGCUCUCAGUAAAAAUGCCAGUGAAUAUUUGCAGUUUAUAUAUGUUAAAAGUUUAUAUUUUAGUCUUGGUAGGUGUCAAACAAAAUAUAGUUUUUUUUUUUGUUUGUUUUAUGCGAGCUACUGUUGCAAGGAAGGACCCUUACAUCUGCUUGCAACCACCAUUCCAUUAAUGUAUAUCUCAGUCCAAUUGUUUGCCACUGUAUCAUAAUGAUGGUGAAUAAUCAAGAAGUUCUAAGAUAUUAUGUUGAGAGUAGACUUUAACUGCUGGUACAAAACUAUAAUGAAAAUACUUUAUUAGGAAAUUGCACAUGUAGAAGACAUAUGUGCCUGCUGAAGAUGGCCUAGAAACAGGUUUUACAGAUUUUAAGUGGAAUUAUUAAUCUUCCAUUUUAAAAUUCAAAUUCAAGCUUUCUAUGGCAGGAAAUAGCAAUAUACUACUUGGAUAUAGUUAAAAGAUAAGAUGCCUACUAUCAAAAUCAAAGUUUGCUUUUCAUAUUGUUAUCAUAUCUCAAAUAAAUCAGUUUUACAAUUCUUCUUUCACCUUUCCAGCUGUAUUUUUAAUAUUCAAGGCUAUAUUUUGCAAAUAUUAAAUGAUUUUCUUUACAGACUUUUAUUUAGUUAUUGUAAAUUUUCAGCAUGAUGGAAGAGAAAAGUCCUGACACAUUUAGACUCUAUACUUGAAUCCUAAUUUCAGGUAUUAUACUUAUGGCACUGUAAAUAAAAAAAAAGGAAUUAUUCACUAUCAGAUGUGUGGUAUUUAUGACUGAAAAAUUAUAUUUUAGGAUACUGAUAUACAGGUUGAUAUUUGUAUGCAUAAAGAGGUUUGUGUUUAGUUUUGUUUUUUGGACUAUAAACCUAAUUAUUAAUUGGAGAGGUAUGAUUUUCUUUUUUUCAUAGUUACAUUUCUAUUUUUUGUUUAAUUCUCCCCUAACAAAGAAAAUUAUAUAUAUAUCAUAGGAUUCAAGGAGUCGUAGAACAUCACGGCUGAUCAGGGUGUCGUUUUAAUCCAGCUUCAUGUAACUUGGGAAACCAUGUCGUGUACACUGAACCCAUCGAGUAUUGUAAGAAUCUUUAAUUUGUUAAAUUUGAAGAAUAAAGAAUGAAUUUCUCA
Molecule: long non-coding RNA, 5342 nt
Filed under: Penaeus monodon (black tiger shrimp)
Lineage: Eukaryota; Metazoa; Arthropoda; Malacostraca; Decapoda; Penaeidae
Description: uncharacterized LOC119574320
Source: RNAcentral